GGGGAUUUAGCUCAGUGGUUCUGGUACCUGCCUCAAAAGCACAAGGUCCUGAGUUCGAUCCCCAGUACCCCCC
Molecule: non-coding RNA, 73 nt
Organism: Heterocephalus glaber (naked mole-rat)
Lineage: Eukaryota; Metazoa; Chordata; Mammalia; Rodentia; Bathyergidae
Source: Rfam